This 459-nucleotide ribosomal RNA is filed under the name uncultured bacterium. Its description in RNAcentral is "partial 16S ribosomal RNA". It matches the Rfam family "Bacterial small subunit ribosomal RNA", at positions 338 to 794 of the family's 1533-position model. The record is from RNAcentral.
CCUACGGGAGGCAGCAGUGAGGAAUAUUGGUCAAUGGACGAGAGUCUGAACCAGCCAAGUAGCGUGAAGGAUGACUGCCCUAUGGGUUGUAAACUUCUUUUAUAAAGGAAUAAAACGAGGCACGUGUGCCUUUUUGCAUGUACUUUAUGAAUAAGGAUCGGCUAACUCCGUGCCAGCAGCCGCGGUAAUACGGAGGAUCCGAGCGUUAUCCGGAUUUAUUGGGUUUAAAGGGAGCGUAGAUGGGUUGUUAAGUCAGUUGUGAAAGUUUGCGGCUCAACCGUAAAAUUGCAAUUGAUACUGGCAGUCGUGAGUACAGUUGAGGUAGGCGGAAUUCGUGGUGUAGCGGUGAAAUGCUUAGAUAUCACGAAGAACCCCGAUUGCGAAGGCAGCUUACUAAACUGUGACUGACAUUGAUGCUCGAAAGUGUGGGUAUCAAACAGGAUUAGAUACCCGGGUAGU